Symphalangus syndactylus (siamang) is the source of this 8252-nucleotide RNA transcript. It is a transcript of the gene named histone H2B type W-T, with no coding region annotated. Lineage: Eukaryota; Metazoa; Chordata; Mammalia; Primates; Hylobatidae. The record is from RefSeq and is a predicted model, not a curated record.
CAUUCUGGUAGGUAGUCUAAGGAAUGAAAAGUACACAAGGCUACCCUUUCAGCCAAACAAAAUGAUUGAAGGAAAACUUUUAGCAGAUUAUUCCUGGGGGGAAAUACUCAAUUCUGUCCAGGUCCAGUGGGUCCUGACUUGGGGAUGGUAGGUGCUUUUUCUUUACAGUUGGAAUCACGGAGUCAAGAGAACCUUGGGAGAGAAGGUCAUGUGGACUACUCUCCUUAUUGCAGAAUGAAGAAAUGAAAACAGGGUCUAAUGUGAUCUGCUCAAGGUGAAUAAGGGCUGGAGUUCAAGCUGGGCUCUCUUGCCUUCUGGAAAGUAUUUUUCAGCUUAAUGGGAGUUAACAUCCAAGACUGAAGUUGGAUGGAGAAAGGGGCAGGAGGCACUUGCUAACAAACCCCAUAUUAAGCACAUUACAUCUUCUAAUGACCUGUAGCAGUGAACUUCUGGACCGUGGCCUUAUAAGGAGAGAGAGAACAGUCUGAAACAUGCGAGGACACAGCAAGAAGGUGGCUGUCUACAAGCCAGGAAGAGAGCCCUCACCAGAAUGUGACUGUGCUGGACGUCGACUUGAGAUUUCUAGAAUCUAGAACUGUGAGCAAGUAAAUUUUUGUUGCUUAAGUCACCUAGUCUAUAGUAUUUUGUUAUGGUAGCCCGAGCUAAUACAGUAAGGAAUAUGUAUAAAUGCAUGCAAUUUAAUUCCUGCCUUUAAACAAUAUUUUUAUCCCUUUUAAAAAAUUAUUUUAUUUCAUUUUUAUGAGACGGGGUCUUGCUCUGUCACCUAGGCUAGAGUGCAGUGGUACAAUCAUAGCUUACCGCAGCCUUGACCUCCUGGGCUCAAGCAAUCCUCCCACCCCAGCCUCCCUAGUACCUGGGACUGCAGGCACAUGCCACCACACCCAGCUAAUCUUUCUGAUUAUUAGUAGAGAUGAGAUCUUGCUAUGUUGCCCAGGCUGGUCUUGAACUCCUGGGCUCAAGCAAUCUGCCUGCCUCAGCCUCCCAAAGUGCUGGGAUUACAGGCAUCAGCUACCAUGCCCGGCCUACUUUAAUCACGUGUAUAAAAACAAAUCACCUAUAAUCCCACCAAUUAGAAGUAUUAACCAUCCAGACUUGUGAUCUGUUAAUGUAUGUAUCUUCCUACAAAGAUGGAUUAUACCGUUCAUACCUAUUUUCAACUUCAAGUAUUAUCUUACCUCCCCCUUUCUAAGGGCUCACAUUCUUAAAUAAUCAGUGGGAUUACAUGAAGUGGAAGCUGUUUUCUCUGCUAUAGCUUAAAGUUUCAAAAUCAAAACAGUAGGUAGGUCAACUCUGAUCAAGUGCCAGUGAGGUGACACAGUCACAGGGCUUAGUGUAGCCAGAGGAUCUGAGCCUUGGAAGUGACCAUGUUAGUCACCAGUACCUUAUCUCCUGCCUGAGGCAAUUGUCCAGUAGAGUCGCUCAACCCCUUGCAGUGAUAUGCUGCUUAUAUUGUGCCCAAACGUGCCUCCCUGUAGCUUCUAUCCAAUAGUCUUGGGAUUGUGUGCUGGAGACUAGAGAGGGUAGUUAAUCCAUCCUCCAGAAUUUGAAGUCAGCUGUUGUGUGCCUGCCCGUGUAUCUCCAAGUCUUCUGCAGCUGACUAUUCUCAGAUCCUUCAGACCCAAAUUACAUACACGGGAAACCAUCCUGGUUGCAGAUCUGCUCAGAUUUGCUAAUUAUCAGGUCUCUGAAUCCUGGUAAUAAUCCUAUCAUCCAACACAUUUGCUUCCCUUUCUGUGUUGUCAUUUGCAAAUUUGAUAAAGAUGCUAUUUAUCUAUGAUAGGUUCAGCAACCUCUUCAUUUGCACACUAAUGAAGCUCAAAGGAAAGCAAGAACAUUGUCAGGUGACCUGAGGUUGAACAAUAACUCCUGGUUAGUUGCAUCUGGUAGCCAUCCUUUUCAUUAAAGUCUUGAUUUGUACUCUGGGUAUUGUAAGUGUUAAACUGAGUGGGAGCAGAUGAGAAGUGCGUGGUGGGAGGUGAAAGACAUAUAAUUACUAAGUGACUACUCAUACAGAAAUGAGACAGGAAAAACUGCAGUUGCUCAUCUGCAGUAGUUUUGCCCCACGUUUCUCAAGUAUUUAAUGUUGGGCUACUCUUUUAGUCACUAGGUUUACUUGUCUUUUCAAUCAGGGGGAGAUUUUUUUCUAAAUAAGCAAAGACUGAGAUUUAGGUCCCUGAAUCUAUCUAUUCUCUGCAGAACUGGCAGUUCCAGGGCUUUGUUGUAGCAGUUGCAUUUAUAUGGAAAGGAAAGGCUGAAGUUAAAUAAUUGUCUUCUUUUAUGCAUCUACAUCCUUUGGUAAUCACUGGUCAGUGGCUUUACACCUUUAUUCUGUCAGUAUACAUAGGCAGAUAUGACUUUAAUUACUAAGAACAGAAAAGGAUGAAAUGUCAGAAAGAAAAAAUAUACUGAAAAUUAAAAGAGAAAAAUCAGCCAAAUAAAACUUCAUGCCUAAUUCAUCUUUGCAAAGGGUAAAAAAGUUUCAUUUAGUAUCAUGGCUUAAAAUUCCCAUGAAACUGUACAGGCCAGUGAGUUUUAUAAACACUCUUAGAAUUUAACCAAUGCAUAUUCAUACCUAAAAAGAAUACCUUGCCUUUGGAUCUGUUUGAACUUGGGCAAGUGACAAUCUUUUGUGGUUCAGGUUCUUCCUCCAUAAAAAUGGAGAUAAUAACAUUACUUCACAGAGAUCUUAUGAAAGGUAAUUGAAGUGUUCUUUGUAAAGCACUUAGAACAAUGCCUGGCACAGUCGCCAGUCCGUGGUGACUCUUUUUAUUACUAUAGCAAUGCCUGGUUUAAUUGACACCAACAAAUAUGAGUGUUGGCUAUAUGGGUGGUAAUGAAAGAGAGUGCGAUAAACUGGCAAGGUAAGAAGUAGGGUAAGUUCAUUCAAUCUUCUGGUUAAUACAUGCCACGUGGACUCUACCAAUGUUUGAGGGAUUGCUAUUUUCAGUAAUAAUAAUUGUAAUUAGUCUUCGGCUUUACCAUUGAACUGAAUAUGUUGUUGUCCCCAGUCAUAUCAAAUGGUGACGAAACAUCUCUAAAGAGCCAGGAAAAACUACUGACAGAACUGUGUUGUCACUAACUAAAUGCAAAGGUAUUGAUUAAUGGAAUCAUGAAAAUGUCUAAUAUAUAACUGGAUGUUUUAUGUGUGGAAACCACACUCAGAUGGCAACUUUCCCUCUAAAAGCCAUAUCCUCUUUUAGUUCUCUGGAACUGCACCUUUGUUUUACACUGAAGUCUGCACCUCCAUGGUGUGCAAACUGUUCACAGGAAUAGUCUCUUUCCUCCAAAUUCCGUUUCAGAGAACUUUUCUUCACAAUAUGAUGCAAGAGGUAGGAGACAUGCUUACUCACAGCUUUGGAUUCAUAUUCUGAAAUCACCACAAUCACAAUAAAAUGAAAAAUCAAACGAAGAAAUGAAAAGUAGACAAAAACUUGAAACUAAUUUUCUCCUCAAUUUACAAGGCUGAACAGCUAGGAGGGCAUUUAUUGGUUCAGGACUGGUCACCUGCUCACAUUCUGAGCCAAUGGCUGAGGCCCAGGGCUGAAGAUACUUCAUUAGUUGAGCCAGUGGAGAGUGGGGUUUGGGUGCUCUCAUUGGAUACUUCCAUCCUAAGUGAUGCAUACUCAGAAGACAUUAAGCUUUGCAUUAAAAAUGAUUGUAGACUGGGAAAUAAUAGAAUUAGAGAAAUGUGAAUGAGUUAGAGUCCUUACUUAAGUUUCUCGGAAGCUUGAAAAGGGUGCUGUUCACUUAAUUUUUGAUUUAGUUAUUUCUGCACUGUGGGUUUUUGUUAUGUAUUUAAAUGAAUUCUGUAAUAGAGGUAAUGUUGAAAAAAGAUUGUAUGAGGUCUGCUUGUUCCAUUAGUAAUGUUUGUCUCAGUUUGAUGCGUCUGAAUUGUUAUUUAGAGCAGUAAACUAUUUCUCUUAUCUUUUUGUGUGUAAUGCAAUUUAAUAACAUUUCAGAUACAAAUUUGUAAUCACAUUUAUAAAUAAGCUGCUCAGAUUUUUUUUUUAGUAUGCAUCCUUCAAUGGGUAUCAACAUCAUGUUAUAUUUUCUUGAAAUAAGUUUUGUUGGCUGCACACAGUAGCUCAUGCCUGUAAUCCCAGCACCUUGGGAGGUCAAGGCAGGAGGAGAGUUUGAGUCCAGGAAUUCGAGACCAGCCUGGGGAAACAUGGUGAAACCUGGUCUUUACAAAAAAAAUACAAAAAUUAGCCGGGCGUGAUGGUGUGCACCUCUAGUCCCAGCUACUUGGGAGGCUGAGGUGGGAGAAUAAUUUGAACCCAAGAGGCAGAGCUUGCAGUGAGAUGAGUUCACGCUGCUGCACUCCAGCCUGGGCGACAGCAAGACUCUGUCUUUAAAAAAAAAAAUUCUCUUUAAACCGAGAUCCAUCUUAUUAACAAUAAAUCACCUGAUCUUAAAAGUCUGACAAGAAACAACAUUGGAAUUUGGGAUGGUAACUUCUUGGUGACCUCCAUUUCUUCAAUUCUUCUUAAUCAUUAAAUCCUUGUUUGGUUCAAUUUCUGGUGUUUAUGUUUUACAUUUAUAUAUUUGAGAAAUGUUUCUGAAUGUAUUAUCAUAGAUUCUUGAAGUGUAUUUUUUUAACUCCAAAAUGUUUCCAAUUUCAUAGAUUCAAUUUUUCUCCAUAAGGAGGUUUCUUAGUGAAUUGGGGUAUUGUUUUCUUCACCCAACACCACUUACUCACCAACACUAACAUUCAGAGUGUUUUGGGGAUCAAAAUACUGUUAAGAAAACAAUUUUAAAUUUCGUAUGUGUUUAAGGAUUUGUAAUAUUUUUACAAGCAUCUCAAUUUCUGUUUGUGCUGUCUGCUUGGAGCCUGUGGUUUGGCCAUUGUUCCUUAUGCACAUUCACUGAAGGUGUUGAUCAGCACUGAAGACAGGAGCCAGAUGGCCAGGUCCUUUGAUGCCCAGGAGCUCUCGACCGCCAUGUCAGGGAGUUCCUGCUCAAGCCAGGGUGGCUUAGCCCAGAAUAACAGUAUAUUCUGAGAUGGGUAAGAAAUGGUCCACAAGUGGCCACCGUCAUUCCUCCAAAAUAAUGGACUUGGGCUCAGGAGGUCAAGCCCUCUUCAAGGAGCAUGAGCUGAAAUUGCUAAACUUUGGGAGUUUUCAGUGACACCCUUCAAAGUGCUCACGGUGUGGCAUGGAUCAGCUGGGGAGAGCUGAUACGGUUUUGCCCUGUUGGGUAUCUAUCUGUGUCCCUUUGUCUGAGGUAGGCAACCGGGGCCACUUAGGCCCGCAGAUGCCCACCGUGAUUGGUUGACAUGAUGCCAAGCAACAGGAUCAUCCAAUCACCUUCAAUGCAGGGAGGAUUGCUGACAGUCUCCCUCGGUGACACUUCAUCCAAUUGGAUGUCGGGUUGGCCUGUGACAUAGAGCCAUGCAGCCAUACCAAAGUGCCCCCCAUUCCUAAAUGGCCAUUUUUAUUAGUUAUCUUUCUAGGUUAUCGUUAUGGUGAUAUUAGCAAUGUUCUGAUGUUUACCUUUUUCACUUUCAUUCUGCUGCGAGUGGAUGGAGGGAUUUUCCAGAAUUUCAUUAUGUGUGAUACGGCAACACAGAAAAUGAAUAUGCUGAUAUAAGAAGCAAGGUAACCCUCCUAAACGAAUUCAAUAUGUCUCCCAUCACGAAUCCAUGUAAAUAAGCAAAUGAGGCCCAGUUACAGUGUACAUACAGCUAAAUAAAAUUUUCAAGAAUCCAUUUAUUUUCCAGCUUCCUCGACUCUGAGAUCAUUAUUGCAAUUCAUUCUUUUUUCGCCCUGACGAUGAUCUUUUUAUUUCCUUUUGAACAGAAAAACCUUCCUUACUUCGAGGAAUGUGUCAGUAGGAUUAGGGAAUGUCCACGGAAACAGCUCAUGCCCUAGUGUACAGUGGUGCAGCCAAUGAGUGACCUGCAGUCUAUGAGCAACAGUCAUUGUCCCAAUUUGGAGGGAGUGACCCAGGCUGAACCCACAAGAGCCUUUCUGUGAUAUUCAGCAUGGCGGUUCAAGGGGCGGCGGUGUGAUUCUUUACCUGAUGUUUUAGUUUUCAGUAUUUGUAAUCAUGGUCAUUUAAGGAUAUGAAUUCAAAGCUAGGAGUAGUAUCUAUUCCUUGCCCCUAGCAUCAAGCUAUUCAGAGCAUUGUCAGUCAUUAGGAUAAGUAAGAUAACGCUUAUUUCCUCAAGAGAUUUGCAUAUUAAUAUUCAUGUUAAUGUUAAUAUGGCUACCUUUCAUUGUGCUUUCUUCUGGGUCCCAAGUCUACGUAUUUUUAGCAUUUUUUUUCUAUAAGUGUAUUGCUGAAUUUCAGAGCAGCUAGUGACUUUCCCAUUGCUUUUCUUUUCAGUGGAUUUCCAGCCGCUCGAGUAUGCGGACAAGAGAACAUACUCUGGGACUGCAACCCGUAGGAAUUUAUUAUGUUGUUCCUUGAAGCUCAGCUAUGGUAUGGCCAUUUCUAGCUCUCCUGAUUCACGGAAGAUGUUGAUCAGAACUGAAGCCAGGAGCCAGACCGCCAGGUCGUUUGAUGCCCAGGAGCCCUCGGCAGCCAUGUCAGGGAGUUCCUGCUCUCGCCAGGGUGGCUUAGCCCAGGAUAACAGUAUAUUCUGAGAUGGGUGAGAAUUGUUCCACACGUGGCCAGUCAUUCUUCCGGCAUAAUGGACUUGGGCUCAGGAGGUCUGUCUCCCUUCAAGGAUCAUGAGCUGAAAUUGCUAAACUUUGGGAGUUUUCAGUAACACCCUUCAAAGUGCUCACGGUGUGACAUGGAUCAGCUGAGGAGGGCGGAUGCGCUUUUGCCCCGUGGGGCAUCUAUCUGUGUAACUUUCUCUGACCUAGGCCACAGGGGGCGCUUAGGCCCACAGACGCCCACUGUGAUUGGUUGACGAGAUGCCACGCAACGGGACCAUCCAGUCACCUUCAACGCAGGAAGAUUUCAUCCAAUCAGACGUGAAGCUGGCCCCUGACGUGGAGCCAUGCUGCGUACCCAAGCGUCCCCGCUUCCCCAGUCCACAACUGCCAUUGUCUGGUCGUGUCAGCUAAUGGCUGCUGUCUCCGCCAUGGCUGGACCUUCCUCUGAGAUGACCUCUGAGGAACAGCUGAUCACCCAGGAGCCCAAAGAGGCUCCUGACUCCACGACUGCCCAGAAGCAGAGGAAGCAAGGGCGCCGUGGGCCCCGCAAGUGCCACGCCAACUGCCGCGGGGACAGCUUCGCCACCUAUUUCCACCGGGUGCUGAAGCAGGUUCACCAGGGCCUCAGCCUUUCCCGGGAGGCCGUGAGUGUCAUGGAUUCCUUGGUUCAUGACAUAUUGGGCCGCAUCGCCACUGAGGCUGGUCACCUGGCCCGCUCCACCAAGCGCCAGACCAUCACCACCUGGGAGAUCCGGACCACUGUGCGCCUGCUGCUGCCGGGGGAGAUGGGCAAGCUCGCUGAGUCCAAAGGCACGAAGGCUGUCCUCAGUUACACCAGGAGCAAGUACACUCCCUCAGGAGUGCCCGAGCACCACGGAAACCCAAAGGGACUUUUUAGAGCCACCGAACGUGGCCCAAAAGACCAGUAGCUCACCAAGGGGGGGGCCCCACCAGAGGUUGCGGUAGGUGGUGCCCUUCCGACUUGAGGGGCAUGUGGGGUGUGGCAUCCUGUGAUUUUGCAAGCAUUUUUCCCUCAGUACGAAACAUUGUCAACUCCGAUAUAUCUGCAGUGCAGUUUGCUCCAAGGAAAAGUAGUGGGUGUUUCCGUGAUCAUGUUUCAUUUCCUCAGUUUCCAAAAUGGUCAUUUUUAUUAGUUAUGUUUCUAGGUUAUCUAUAUGGUGAUAUUAUUAUUGCACUGAUUUUUACCUUUUUCUCUCUCAUUCUCCUGCGACUGGAUGGUGGAAUUUUCCAGAACUUCACUAUAUGCCGUACAGGAACAGAAAAAAUGAAUACGCUGAUAAAAGAAGCAAGAAUAUUAGGAAAAUGUUAUGAAAAUAGUUGAAGAGAAAUGCUCACUGCACAAGGAGACCAGGAAAAACCCCCGUGAAAUCAGCCACAACUAAAUCCCUCAGGACCGUGCUGCCAGGUGGUCCUACAUGUUCGGAGCAACACUUUGAAAACCAAAGACGCUUGGCAGAACUCUGUUGCUUUCCAGAGACAGAGCUGCGUACCUGGUCCAAAACACCACAUCUCACUCAGUGACUUAUUUCUCAUUAUGCUAAUUGUUUUGCUAUAAAGUGCCAAUCUUUCUGUCAAAUGGGACAUACGAAUAAAUUUCUAAAGUUA